GGCAACCCGCUGAGGUCAAGCUUCGUUUUUUUUGCUUUUUACAAUAAGUGUUGCUACUGCUCAGUCUUUGAGUCCACGCUACUUUUAUGAGCUGUAACACUCACUACAAAGGUCUGCAGCUUCACUCUUGAAGCCAGCGAGACCACUGAGCUCACCGGGAGGAACAAACAACUCCGGACGCACUGUCUUAAGAGCUAUAACACCGCCAAGGUCUGCAUCUUCACUUCUGAGCCAGCGAGACCACGAACCCACCAGAAGGAAGAAACUCGGAACACAUCUGAAUAUCAGAAGGAACAGACUCCAGACGCGCCACCUCAAGAGCUGUAACACUCACGGCGAGGGUCCGCGGCUUCAUUCUUGAGGGCAAAAUCUUUUUCCCUUGAAGACUGGAAAUAUUAUCCAUGUUGUCCUCCGGAAUAUUUUCAAUGACUUGUGCCCUGCCAGCUCUAGCUUUUGAAGGGUCUACACUCAUCAUCAACAGAUUCUGGGGGUUCAUGCACAGAUUUCUUACCUGGGUAUAUUGUGUGAUGCUGAGCUUUGGAGUUCAACUGAUUUCAUCACCCAGCAACCAGCCCAGGAAGCCAGCCCAUUAUCCAGAGGAACCAACCAAGGAAGCCAGCCUGCUCUCUAGAAGCUAGACUUGUAGGAAGCCAGACCACUGUCUCUAGCAACUGAUCCAGGAAGACAGAAAAGAACACCUCAAUAACAGGACCAAAGUGGCCAGGACUUGACUGAUGAGUAACUGACAGCUUCCCUAAUUUUUGGCCCUACUUCCAACAGAAGAACAACCAGAGAAAGCCAAGUAUGCACCUGAUGCCCCACUUCCAGUGAGCCGCCUCCAGCUUCCCACGCCAACAGCUUCCAAUCAGCACACUUUCGGAGCCUUCCCUUUUCUCCACGAUGAAAGCUUCCCCACUCCUCUGACUGCCUUUGAGCCUCUGCCAAAACUCAAGUGAUGGUAGCCGACUCCCUGCUACCGCAAGCUUGGAAUAAACAGCCUUUGCUUUUCUCAUCUGCUUUGUCUUCGUUUAUUUCCACAAGAUCCUUCACAGUGAGAAGCUGCUUCCUCCCUUGGAGCCUUUCUAACCCUGCACCCUCUGCCUGGAAUGCUUCCUCCACCCUCCACGUGGUCAAACCUCUCCCUGUUUUCCAGAUUUCAACUUGUGAAUUGAAGACACCUUCUCUAACCACUCUGUAACCACUCCCUUCUCAGCCUCUUUUUUGGUUCCCUUACAGUGCGUGCCACAACUUGCAAUCAUUUCGUUUAUUUUUUUGGU
This 1277-nucleotide long non-coding RNA is filed under the name Homo sapiens (human). Its description in RNAcentral is "HSALNT0332575". The record is from RNAcentral. Lineage: Eukaryota; Metazoa; Chordata; Mammalia; Primates; Hominidae.